AUUGAACGCUGGCGGCAGGCCUAACACAUGCAAGUCGAGCGAGCGGCGGACGGGUGAGUAAUGUAUGGGGACUGCCCGAUAGAGGGGGCUAACUACUGGAAACGGUAGCUAAUACCGCAUACUAUCGGAUAACCCAUAUGGGAUUAGCUAGUAGGUGAGGUAAUGGCUGACAUAGGCGACGAUCCCUAGCUGGUCUGAGAGGAUGAUCAGUCACACUGGGAGUGAGACACGGCCCAGACUCCGACGGAGGCAUCAUUGGGGAAUAUUGGACAAUGGGCGAAAGCCUGAUGCAGCAAUGCCGCGUGUAUGAAGAAGGCCCUAGGGUUGUAAAGCACUUUCAGUCGGGAGGCGUUACCGACAGAAGAAGCACCGGCUAACUCCGUGCCAGCAGCCGCGGUAAUAC
This 403-nucleotide ribosomal RNA is filed under the name uncultured bacterium. RNAcentral's name for it is "partial 16S ribosomal RNA". It matches the Rfam family "Bacterial small subunit ribosomal RNA", at positions 30 to 526 of the family's 1533-position model. The record is from RNAcentral.